RNAcentral lists this small RNA (77 nucleotides) under Xanthomonas arboricola pv. populi. Its description in RNAcentral is "sX9 sRNA". It matches the Rfam family "Xanthomonas sRNA sX9". Lineage: Bacteria; Pseudomonadati; Pseudomonadota; Gammaproteobacteria; Lysobacterales; Lysobacteraceae. The record is from RNAcentral.
AUGGACCGCUCGUACACUCCGGUUCUGAGCGCGCCGCCCGCACUCACCUGACGACUGCUCGCUACGUUUUGUCAGCC